ACGUCUGAGCAGGCCCCGCUGUCACUCCCUGAGGACAGCAGGCAAGGCAGGCGGACGUCCCUGGACGAAGAAAGUGCUGGAGAAACUGGCGACUGUCCCACCUUCCCUAAGGCGAAGGUUCUGAAUUCUGAAGACCGUUACUCGGCGCGGAACGCGACUCCGGGCAGCCGCAGAUGCCAAAGCACCAGGCCUGGGGACCGCGGCCUACGCGUCUCCCGGGCUUCGCGCCCCUCGCCCGAUCUGAUUGGAUGGCGGCGGAAAAAGGCGGGGAGACCCCCGGAGGAGGCGCGCGCAGGCCAGCCGGGGGGUUCCCACGGAGGCGCCCAGAGGGCAAAAGGGCGGGAGCGGGCCUCGGAGCGUCGCGCGUGCGCAAUAGGGACAAGGCCGCUUGGGGACUGCUGGGAGGGCCGGACCCUGCGAGAAACGGGUGGGCGUAGGCCCGGUGGGCGCGGGAGGGGCCCGGGCUGCAAGAGCGCGCGUGCGCCUCGGAGCCGGAGCCGCGGGAGGAGGCGGGAGCUGAGGAGGCGGCGGAGGGGGCGGGUCGCGUCGGGCGCCACGUCCGCAGCCAGAGGCCGCCGCCUCCACCGCCGCCGCCACAGUUUUCCAGCUCCACAUCCUGAAAGGACGCCUCCAGAGCCGCGACUGCCUGGGGUUGUGCCGGCCGCAGCUGCCGCCCAGGCCGCCUCAGCUCUCCUAGGCGCCGGCCUGCUCCCUCCGCCCGGCUGCUGCCCUAGCGCUGGCCGCGAUCCCGGCGCCUUUGAAACUUCUGCUGGUGUGAGUGCCCUCAAGGGUUCCCCAGAAAUAUCGAUACCACACCAACAGGUAAACGCGCGCGCUUGUGUGUGUGUGUGUGUGUGUGUGUGUGCGCGCGCGCGCGCCCAUACUUAACUUUUUAAAAAGAAAGGGAGAAGUAGCCUUUGAUAAACCCAUAUGCAUCCUGUUUUGCUUUUUCCACUUUCAUUUCUUUAGUCUUUGUUAGAACAGAUGUACCAGAAACCAAGUUCAGUGAAAAUUUGUCCAUUUAUAGAAAGCAUCGUUAGAAAUUAUAACGGUUGCUACAUUAGACAAAUAUACAGGUAGGUGUCUGUGUGUGUGCAUGUGUUUGAUUUUUUUUUUUUAAACUACAGGAAAAUCUUUACCUUUCUUUGUUUCAGUUAUUAGGUAUUUACUUUUUUUCUGCUUCCGGAAGAUAUCUCACUGGAUUAUAUAUAAACAUCUUGAGAAUAGGACCUCUGUAUGUUUGUUCACAAGGAUGCCUCAGUGCCUAACAGAAUGUUUGACACAUAGUAGGAAUGCAAAUAUCUGUUGAAAUCAUGUGAAGAUGGUGUGCUGGUUCUCUGGUUUGAUAGAGUAUUGUAAUUCUGCUUAAUGUUUCGUUUAAGGACAACCCUUAAAAAUUGCCUUUUUGACACUGUCAGUUAUUACUCGUCUAAGUGGGCACUUACAAGUUUUACUGGCAGAUGACUUUUUCUUCCUUGCUAGAUUGAGAGCAUUUCUUGUAGCCUAUUUGCUGUUGAUUUAAUGGGCAGGGGCCAUCUUUAAAAGCAGACUCUUCCCGAUAGUUGGUUUAACUAGAAAAACAUAAAAACAGCUGGAGUUUUAAUGUACUCUGCUUGUUGGUGUAUAUGUUUUAGAGCUCUAUAUAAAUAUAUUUUUGAAUCUCUUUGCAAUCAUUUGGCAAAGAAGCUAAAACAUGGGAGUGAGGAUGUGGCCAAGUUCUUUUAGGUAGAAUAUGUAGAAGGAUUUAGCUAAUUCAUUUAUAGUUGUCUUUUUCUAUUAUAGGGACAUUGGCACCUACUGUUGAAUAACAGGUAGUUUUAAGUGGCUUUGCCAAUAAAGUUGUGCACUGUAUUUUGUAGUUAAGCUUU
This is a long non-coding RNA of Piliocolobus tephrosceles (Ugandan red Colobus), 1868 nucleotides long. Lineage: Eukaryota; Metazoa; Chordata; Mammalia; Primates; Cercopithecidae. The record is from Ensembl.